RNAcentral lists this long non-coding RNA (880 nucleotides) under Pan troglodytes (chimpanzee). RNAcentral's name for it is "lincRNA". Lineage: Eukaryota; Metazoa; Chordata; Mammalia; Primates; Hominidae. The record is from RNAcentral.
ACCUUUAAAAAGUAGCUGUAAAACCUCCAUUUUACAGACCAGUUGGCUGAGGUUUAAAUGGAGGACGCUCCCAGGGCCCCAGAGGGGCGAAUUCCAGACUCCUUUGCCAGGACCUUGUACUAAGCCCCUUCCCUACGCUUUUCCCUGCCUAGGCCUCGUGGGCUGUGCGGCUAUCCUGGAGACAGAUGACAGCUCUCCCUUGGAUGGCUUUGCUGGUUCCGCACCAGCCAGCGCCCCUAUUUUUCCUGCAGCACCCUGAUCUGCACUCCCUGAGGGGCUCCCACUGUCCGCGGUGUGAGGAUGUCCCUGGAUAGUCCACUGUGUGCAGAGGCAUGGGAGUUGUCAUGUCGAGAACAUGCUAGACCUCAGUGUCCUUGAGGGAUGCCGCCUUGGGUCUGGAAAUUGUUAGAGGAAACCCCAAGAGGUGCAGGCACUGAGCCUCUCAGGACAAUGACCUGGGGUCCCAGCUCCCCUGGAGGGGCCUCCUCAUGAUUGUUUGGGGCUUGAUCACAGACCAAGAGUGACGAGUGAUGUCACCCUGUGACUCAUGGCCGGACCUUCUUGCCCCUAUUGUCUCAGCACAACAUUAUUUGACUUUUCCCUCAGCGUGGGUGGGCAGAGGAAAAGCCCUGUGGCUCUGGGGACUUGGGAUCCGGAGUUGAAGACCCUUCAGCUGGCUCUGCCCUGCCAGUGCCACAGAGUGCCAUGGCCCAGGAAGACAGGUUUUCUUCCAUCUAGGCCAGGCCAUCCAGUGGCCAUCCUCCGUGUCCUCCCGCCUCCUCCUGGUGUGACUUCUGAAAACCAAGAAUUUGUUCCUGUUGACUUUUUCUGUGCUAUGGACCAUUGUCCUCUCACCCACUCAAUAAAUCUUGAAACAUGC